GCUGGGCAUGGUGGCGCGUGCCUGUAAUCCCAGCUACUCAGGAGGCUGAGGCAGGAGAAUUGCUUGAACCCAGGAGGCGGAGGUUGCAGUGAGCCAAGAUCUCGCCAUUGCACUCCAGCCUGGGUGACAAGAGCAAAACUCUGUCUCAA
Unclassified non-coding RNA from Callithrix jacchus (white-tufted-ear marmoset), 149 nucleotides. It matches the Rfam family "Metazoan signal recognition particle RNA". Rfam says of the family: The signal recognition particle (SRP) is a universally conserved ribonucleoprotein. It is involved in the co-translational targeting of proteins to membranes. The eukaryotic SRP consists of a 300-nucleotide 7S RNA and six proteins: SRPs 72, 68, 54, 19, 14, and 9. The record is from Ensembl. Lineage: Eukaryota; Metazoa; Chordata; Mammalia; Primates; Cebidae.